Molecule: transfer RNA, 72 nt
Filed under: Nanobdellota archaeon
Lineage: Archaea; Nanobdellati; Nanobdellota
Description: tRNA-Ala
Rfam family: tRNA
About the family: Transfer RNA (tRNA) molecules are approximately 80 nucleotides in length. Their secondary structure includes four short double-helical elements and three loops (D, anti-codon, and T loops). Further hydrogen bonds mediate the characteristic L-shaped molecular structure. tRNAs have two regions of fundamental functional importance: the anti-codon, which is responsible for specific mRNA codon recognition, and the 3' end, to which the tRNAs corresponding amino acid is attached (by aminoacyl-tRNA synthetases). tRNAs cope with the degeneracy of the genetic code in two manners: having more than one tRNA (with a specific anti-codon) for a particular amino acid; and 'wobble' base-pairing, i.e. permitting non-standard base-pairing at the 3rd anti-codon position.
Source: RNAcentral
GGGCCUGUGGUCUUACGGUAUGACGCUGCCAUGGCAUGGCAGAGGCUCCGCGUUCGAUUCGCGGCAGGUCCA